CCAAACUUGGUCAUUUAGAGGAAGUAAAAGUCGUAACAAGGUUUCCGUAGGUGAACCUGCGGAAGGAUCAUCAUUGAAUAAUAAUAAUAUCAAGCCUUUUGAGGGGGGGUUUCUUCUCUUAGGGGGCUUGCAAACAACUUUAAUACCCAAAAAGAUAAUUUUUCUCAAGGUUUUCAGCUUGUUGAGCUCAUUUGUUUGAGUUUGGGUUGAUAACUGGAGAAAAGGAAAAGAGUGAUGAGGGGAGACCCUCUGAACUCUUGAAAUAUAAAACAUGCGGUUGCCUGAUAAAAAAAAGUGUUUGGUUUAUUUGGGAAUGUGAAACAACUUUCAACAAUGGAUCUCUUGGCUCUCACAUCGAUGAAGAACGCAGC
Molecule: unclassified non-coding RNA, 371 nt
Filed under: uncultured fungus
Lineage: Eukaryota; Fungi
Description: partial contains small subunit ribosomal RNA, internal transcribed spacer 1, and 5.8S ribosomal RNA
Rfam family: Eukaryotic small subunit ribosomal RNA (bases 1-73)
Source: RNAcentral